UAGUGCACUAGUGUUUCUUUCCUCUGUGGUGUAACGUACAUUUGCAUUUUGCAACAGAAACAGCUUCUUAUAGAGUAUUGUUUUACAGGCUAAUAUUUUUUAUGUAAUGUACGGUAUUCAAAUGUAAUUAUAAAUAGGAUUGGGAUAAUACAAAAAUAUACUUUUUGCUUAGUGAUAUCUAUUACAUUGUGACAGAAUUUGGUUUCUCAAUAAUUCUCAUCCUGAGUGCCAAACUGAUCAAUUGCAUCCUAAUGGAACGUUCAAGAUGUGAUUCAGUAACUGAUACGGUAGUUGCAAUAAUUAUUUUUGACCAAAUUGAAUCCACAAAAUAAUUGAAGAAAUGGUUUCAGAUGAUUACGAACAAGCGCCAGCUAUAUUUGGAGAGGUAAUGCACCUACUGAUAUCCCGUGAUAAGAACUUGGGAGAGAUUUAGUGAAACCCUGGAGAACGGCCACUUAGCUCACAAAUCUGAGCUGUUCACAUCAAGCUGAUAUUUGUGACAGCCAUUAUAGCUUUAAUCAUGAAAUUGAAAAAGGGAGAUGUCAUGAUAAUAUAUAUAUCGAUACUGUGAUAUCGAUAUAUUGAUGUAACUAUCGAGUGUGUUUUGUAUCGAGUCUCGAAGGAUGAACUUGUACUUCGUGUGCUUGUGAGUUAUGCUCAGUGCUUACUGAAAUAAAUAUAUCUUGGUGAAUUAAA
Molecule: long non-coding RNA, 696 nt
Organism: Nilaparvata lugens (brown planthopper)
Lineage: Eukaryota; Metazoa; Arthropoda; Insecta; Hemiptera; Delphacidae
Exons: 4
Source: RefSeq, a predicted model, not a curated record